RNAcentral lists this small RNA (175 nucleotides) under Dickeya dadantii 3937. The record is from RNAcentral. Lineage: Bacteria; Pseudomonadati; Pseudomonadota; Gammaproteobacteria; Enterobacterales; Pectobacteriaceae.
GCAAAGGGGAGUAACUUCUCGCUGGUCAAUCGCCAUUACAGUGCAAACGCACUCGGUUACCAGGCAACCUUAAUGACGUUAUCUGCAUUAAGUUGUAAGUGAGACCUUGCCAGAAGGCGAGGUCUAUUUGCAGCUUAAUAGCAAACGGCCUGUGCCUUCUGACACAGGCCGUUUU